RNAcentral lists this ribosomal RNA (1386 nucleotides) under uncultured bacterium. Its description in RNAcentral is "16S ribosomal RNA". It matches the Rfam family "Bacterial small subunit ribosomal RNA". The record is from RNAcentral.
GUGGCGGACUGGUGAGUAACGCGUGAGCAACCUGCCUAUCAGAGGGGAAUAACAGUGAGAAAUCAUUGCUAAUACCGCAUAUGCCAUAAUUAUCGCAUGAUAAUAGUGGGAAAGGAGUAAUCCACUGAUAGAUGGGCUCGCGUCUGAUUAGAUAGUUGGUGGGGUAACGGCCUACCAAGUCAACGAUCAGUAGCCGGACUGAGAGGUUGAACGGCCACAUUGGGACUGAGAUACGGCCCAGACUCCUACGGGAGGCAGCAGUCGGGAAUAUUGCGCAAUGGAGGAAACUCUGACGCAGUGACGCCGCGUAUAGGAAGAAGGUUUUCGGAUUGUAAACUAUUGUCGUUAGGGAAGAUAAAAGACAGUACCUAAGGAGGAAGCUCCGGCUAACUACGUGCCAGCAGCCGCGGUAAUACGUAGGGAGCAAGCGUUAUCCGGAUUUAUUGGGUGUAAAGGGUGCGUAGACGGGAGACUAAGUUAGUUGUGAAAUCCCUCGGCUUAACUGAGGAACUGCAACUAAAACUGGUUUUCUUGAGUAUUGGAGAGGAAAGUGGAAUUCCUAGUGUAGCGGUGAAAUGCGUAGAUAUUAGGAAGAACACCGGUGGCGAAGGCGACUUUCUGGACAAUAACUGACGUUGAGGCACGAAAGUGUGGGGAGCAAACAGGAUUAGAUACCCUGGUAGUCCACACCGUAAACGAUGAAUACUAGGUGUAGGAGAUGAUUUUAUUUUCUGUGCCGUCGCAAACGCAAUAAGUAUUCCACCUGGGGAGUACGGCCGCAAGGUUGAAACUCAAAGGAAUUGACGGGGGCCCGCACAAGCAGUGGAGUAUGUGGUUUAAUUCGAAGCAACGCGAAGAACCUUACCAAGGCUUGACAUAUACAGGAAUAACUAAGAAAUUAGUUAGCUCUUCGGAGUCUGUAUACAGGUGGUGCAUGGUUGUCGUCAGCUCGUGUCGUGAGAUGUUAGGUUAAGUCCUGCAACGAGCGCAACCCCUGCUUCUAGUUGCCAGCACGUAAAGGUGGGAACUCUAGAGGGACUGCCGGUGAUAAAUCGGAGGAAGGUGGGGAUGACGUCAAAUCAUCAUGCCCUUUAUGUCUUGGGCUACACACGUACUACAAUGGCUGUAACAGAGGGAUGCAAAACAGUGAUGUUAAGCGGAACCCAAAAAGCAGUCUCAGUUCGGAUUGAAGGCUGAAACUCGCCUUCAUGAAAGCGGAAUUGCUAGUAAUGGCAGGUCAGCAUACUGCCGUGAAUACGUUCCCGGGCCUUGUACACACCGCCCGUCACACCAUGAGAGUUGGGAAUACCCGAAGCCUGUGAGCUAACUUAUAGAGGCAGCAGUCGAAGGUAGAAUCAAUGAUUGGGGUGAAGUCGUAACAAGGUA